Molecule: non-coding RNA, 4294 nt
Organism: Oryzias latipes (Japanese medaka)
Lineage: Eukaryota; Metazoa; Chordata; Actinopteri; Beloniformes; Adrianichthyidae
Source: RefSeq, a predicted model, not a curated record
AUGCAUACGUGAGUAUUAGAGGAGCAGUGAGUGUGGGGGGUUGGGGCACUUGUGAUUAGCCCUGAGUUGAUCCUUCGGGAGCAGAUGGUGAAUGGUGGCUUACCCAGAUGCCUUGAAUCCAAAGCGUUAACAUUAGUCCACACCAAAGAACCGGUGUAUCUGAGGAGGACGGAGAAACAAAGGCUCAUGACAGGAGACCGCAGGAAGACUGCUUGUGAUCCAAACAAGACGAGAUGUUGCUGAGGAGCGUUGUUGUUCUGCUGGUGCUCAGUGUGCAGCAUCUACACGGCUCUGCUCUUCCAGCUGUUUCCUCCUAUGAGUUCACCGCCUUCAGGAUGCAACAGUACAAUUUAGGACAACAGAAGCAUGGUUGCCGUGGCGCUAUAGUUGUUGCCGAGGCCCGUUCAGCAGAUGAACCUUCACUGACUCGCCGCUGUAUCAUCAUGAAGGUGGAAGACUUUUCUGCAGAAAAAUAUCUAGAAGCCCAGGGACAAAAUGCUGCCGCCGUGCUGAUCCUGCUGCCCAAAAAUAUCUCAAGCGUUCCUCACAGUACCGUACAGACUUUCAUGAUGAGUGAGAGUGUAGCUUUGCAGAAAGAGACCCUGAUUCCUGUGUAUGUCGCACCUGAAGACGAACAGCUGCUCUACAUGUAUGAAGAGGUCAAGCAGGCUGCAGCCGCCAGGACCUCAUCCAUAUUUGUUCGAGUCCUUCGAAGUAUAGUCACAGCUACAGCCUUUCAGAUUUUAGUGAGCAACAAUGCCCCCAUCAAAGCCAUCACUGACAAUGCUAUAGUCACGCUGGAGGGUGUUCUCCCUGGAGCAGGAGAAGAUGCGCCCACCAUUGUCAUCACUGCCUACUACGACUCUUACGGGCUGGCUCCAUGGUUGUCAUUUGGGGCAGACUCUAAUGGCAGCAGCGUUACCAUUUUGCUGGAGCUCGCACGGCUUUUUCAGAAACUUUACAGCAGCUCCAGUACCAGACCGCAAUACAAUUUGAUGUUUUCCUUGACCGGAGGAGGAAAAUACAACUUCCUUGGCACCAAGAGAUGGAUUGAAGAGAACCUAGAUCAUGCCGAGUCAAGCCUGCUUCAUGACAAUGUGGCGUUCGUUGUGUGUUUGGAUACCCUGGGUAAGAGUGAUGAGCUCUUUGUGCAUGUGUCCCGUCCUCCAAAGCCUGACACUCCUGUGCACUCUUUCAUUCAACAGCUGGAGGAGGUGGUUUCUUCUAGAUUUUCCUGGGUGAAGGUGGGAUUGGUUCACAAGAAGAUAAAUCUUGUUGAGUCCACAAUUGCCUGGGAGCAUGAGCGCUAUAGCCUCCGAAGGAUCCCGGGCUUUACCCUGUCUCACCUGGAAGAUCCCAAAUCUGCGCUCCGAGGCUCUAUACUUGACACAAUGUCACAGGUGGAUUUCAGGAAACUCAAGCGAAACGGCCUCAUCAUUGCAGAAACACUGGCGCGGUUUAUGUACAAUCUCACCGACAAGGGUUCACCAAAGGAUGUGCAGGUUUUUAAAGGCCAGCUGGACUUCCAGGACAGCCGUUUGUCCAGUUUGAUGUCCUUCCUGACGUCGGUCCCUCGGGCCACCCAGCUGCUGGACAAGGAGCAAAGUCAAAUUUUGAUGGUGAACUCGCUGGAGCACGAGUUCAAACGUUACCUACAGCAGGUCCACAGACACACUUUUCGACAGGACAGAAGGUGAACACGAAGACCAAAAUGCUCCUAAAAACUGACAGAAAACAGAAUGAGGAUGACUGGGAUUUUUUCAUGCAGGGACCCUGAUGUCAGCUUCUUUGAUCAAAUGAACCAACCGAUUGUGAUGUACAGGUAAUUAUUGGAGCUUCUAUAUUUCUGUGCCAGUGGAGAAUUCCCAGAGUCUCCAGGAUUUUUCUUUCAGGGUGAAGCCGGCAGCUUUUGAUCUGUUCCUGGGUGGAUGCAUCACAGCGUAUUUGGGGAUUGUUUACUAUUCAAUCCAGAAUUUUGGUUAUCUCUACAUCAAAUUGAAAGCUUCAGUGAAAUCCAAGCACCAGUAAAAGCUUAAAUCCAUGGAGACAAGGACAAAAUCUUUAAAGACGGAUCUGCAGCACAUAAAAGCAAACCACCAAGAACUGUAAACCGUUCAGAAAAAGUAACAGUAAAUGAAUGCCCAUCUCGGGAAGCAAGCUUUCUCUUUGAAUUACAUAUGACUGUACCAAUGUUUGUACUUCUCAUUUAAUACAACCAGGCUUGAAACUUCGUUUGUCUAAUUUAAAAAAAAAAGAAAUAAAGAAUUUGUGACUGAAACUUUUACAUAAAAAUGAACUUGGAUCUGAUUUGAGAUGUUUCCAUGACACCAUGACCACAUGACCUGUCUUUGUCUGAUUUAUACAGCUUUCCAACCACUGCAGUGGAUGAACAGCCACUCACUGUCACAGAUAACUCAGUGGGAGCGCUGUAGACACAAUGGCACCCUACAGUGCUGGGUGAAUUAUUAAUGCUCACGGGGCAUGCUGACACUCAACACAGAAAGGUGCUGACGUUGGAUUUUAAAGUGUAUCUUUUCUUCUCUGGGAUGUCCCACCCGCUAUGACUCUUUCAAGUGAGCCAACGGCACUUCAGUGUUUUAGAUGAGGGCAGCCUUUUGUCAGAGGCCCCUUGCAGAAGGGGAAGGUCAAGGAUUCUAAUCUGGUAUGUGCGUCUCUGCAGGGGGCUAGGAGCCAGGGGGAUUAGUGGCUGGGUGCUCAGGUGGCACACCGAGUUGUUCUGCUUCAGCAGGGAUGCUUCAGCCUGCCCCAACACACCACAUUCAUCACCACUACCACAACAGCAACAGCUCAAACAGAAAGCUUAUUUCAUGCAGUAACUCCAGUAACCUUUUUUGUUUAUAGCUGUUCAUAAAAAGAAUGUAAAAUGCUUUUAAAAUAAAUGGAAAAAAUUGUUUUUUAUCAACUAAAAUAAAAAUAUUCAAGAGAUUUGGUGGAAAAAGGAGGUCAAAACAGGAGGAACACAGAUGGAGAUUAGGGGGGUGGAGCUUACAGGUGACAGGGAGGUGAAGGAUGCUGUGUGGCGGAUUCGAGGCGAGCUGUGGACAAACGGUUGGACGGUCGGUGAUGAUGGCUCCGGAGCUUUACGUCUCUAUCUACAGAGAACAGUUCCGCCCUCCUGGCAGGGUGAAGAGAGCAGAGCUUCGACCCACCUCGGCCCACCGCAGGAACAAUCCCCAGCCCAGGCCGGACUUCUUGUUUCCUCACCCUCUCCAGUCAAACUACAGGCAGGCCCGUUCACUGGUACACCCACUGACCUCUGCAGACCCCAGCCGGCCCCUCUUCCCUCCUGUGACACAUUCAUCAUUGCUUAACCGUACCGAUGAAACCCUGUCAAACCCAGAGAAUGCAGGCAAACUCCAAAGCCUGCCCUCAGUCAAUGAAAAUCGUGCACAAGAUGCGCCCUCUAGUGGGAGAUUGCGGACUCGACACCCCAAGGAGCCUCCGGCUGAAAUCCAGUUUAAAUCGAUUUUGAGGACAAAUGAUAAUCUGAGGAAUUCAGCACUGGAGCUCAGGCAAGCAAACAACCUUUGAACUUUUCUCGAGGCCUCACAGCUGAGAAACCACGUGGGCUUCUGCAAGUCUUAUCAAAAAUAAAUGUAUUGAUUUCCACAGGCAAAAAGCAGGAUCUCAGAUUCAGACAAGGCCCCAAACCAGCUACCUUCCUGCAGCCUCUCGCUGUUUUCAACGAGCGCAACGCAAGUGUUGCUCUAACGGCACCUUGGAUUACAGUGGUUGCAACAGCUGCUUCCAUGUUGUGAGGCCGUACCAAGUUGGAUACUACAGCAUCCACCCAGAGUUUGUGUCCGAAAGCCUUUAUUAGAGCCACUAGAGCGGCAUUCCCAUCAGAAUGAGAGACUGAUGAGCUUUUACUGCGCUGAUUGUGGAGCUACUGUGUUAGGAGCCUCAAUGCUAAUGUCAAAAACUUUUUUAGUUGUUAAUCUGCAAAAACUUUCAUUUAGUUUUAACUAAAUAAUCAAGAAGAAAAGCCUUGGUGUGCUGAGUCUGAGUUUUAAACUACUAGUACUACAGUACAAUACAACUUCUUUGAAAAUGAGAGAUAACUCCUCUUCAUUUUCUUCUUCUUUGGAUGAGCAAGACUGUUUGAAAACUACAACUAUGAGCUAUGUCUGGAGUGAUAAUUACUCCAUAUAAAUUCCCAUCAUGAAAACAUUGUGUGCUUUAACCCUUGUGCUAUCCUAGCACUUUAACAUUGGGAGUUGGGUCAUCUAGACCCCACAGGACACUGGGCUGAACCUUUUUUCUUCAAUGAUUU